UAAUACGGGAGGCAGCAGUAGGGAAUCUUCCGCAAUGGACGAAAGUCUGACGGAGCAACGCCGCGUGAACGAUGAAGGCCUUCGGGUCGUAAAGUUCUGUUGUUAGGGAAGAACAAGUACCAGAGUAACUGCUGGUACCUUGACGGUACCUAACCAGAAAGCCACGGCUAACUACGUGCCAGCAGCCGCGGUAAUACGUAGGUGGCAAGCGUUGUCCGGAAUUAUUGGGCGUAAAGCGCGCGCAGGUGGUUUCUUAAGUCUGAUGUGAAAGCCCACGGCUCAACCGUGGAGGGUCAUUGGAAACUGGGGAACUUGAGUGCAAAAGAGGAAAGUGGAAUUCCAAGUGUACCGGUGAAAUGCGUAGAGAUUUGGAGGAACACCAGUGGCGAAGGCGACUUUCUGGUCUGUAACUGACACUGAGGCGCGAAAGCGUGGGGAGCGAACAGGAUUAGAUACCCUGGUAGUCCACGCCCUAAACGAUGAGUGCUAAGUGUUAGAGGGUUUCCGCCCUUUAGUGCUGCAGCAAACGCAUUAAGCACU
This 540-nucleotide ribosomal RNA is filed under the name bacterium A3T_VP5_F4. RNAcentral describes it as "bacterial SSU rRNA". It matches the Rfam family "Bacterial small subunit ribosomal RNA", at positions 337 to 868 of the family's 1533-position model. The record is from RNAcentral.